GAUGAAGAACGUAGCGAAAUGCGAUAAGUAAUGUGAAUUGCAGAAUUCAGUGAAUCAUCGAAUCUUUGAACGCACAUUGCGCCCCCUGGUAUUCCGGGGGGCAUGCCUGUCCGAGCGUCAUUACAACCCUCAAGCUCAGCUUGGUGUUGGGCCCCCCGCCCCGGCGGGCCCUAAAGUCAGUGGCGGUGCCGUCCGGCUCCGAGCGUAGUAAUUCUUCUCGCUCUGGAGGUCCGGUCGUGUGCUCGCCAGCAACCCCCAAUUUUUUUCAGGUUGACCUCGGAUCAGGUAGGGAUACCCGCUGAACUUAAGCAUAUCAAUAAGCGGAGGA
Molecule: unclassified non-coding RNA, 328 nt
Filed under: soil metagenome
Description: partial contains 5.8S ribosomal RNA, internal transcribed spacer 2, and large subunit ribosomal RNA
Rfam family: 5.8S ribosomal RNA (bases 1-120)
Source: RNAcentral